UACAGAGGUCUCAAGCGUUGUUCGGAUUCAUUGGGCGUAAAGGGUGCGUAGGCGGCGCGGUAAGUCGGGUGUGAAAUCUUGGAGCUUAACUCCGAAACUGCAUUCGAUACUGCCGUGCUUGAGGACUGGAGAGGAGACUGGAAUUUACGGUGUAGCGGUGAAAUGCGUAGAUAUCGUAAGGAAGACCAGUGGCGAAGGCGGGUCUCUGGGCAGUUCCUGACGCUGAGGCACGAAGGCCAGGGGAGCAAACGGG
Molecule: ribosomal RNA, 253 nt
Filed under: uncultured bacterium
Lineage: Bacteria
Description: partial 16S ribosomal RNA
Rfam family: Bacterial small subunit ribosomal RNA
Source: RNAcentral